ACGAUAUAAGAUAAGAAUACAAAUUAUAAGUUCAUAAUAUAAAUUAAUGAAAUCAUUAAAAUCACUUCUUACAAUUGUUUCAGCCUAUGGCUAAAAGUAGAUAAUUUUAUCUUCAUUGCCUAUGUAAAGUGUGUGUUUUAUAUAAAGCGAGAGAGAAAGAGAAGGAGAGAGAGAGAGAGG
Molecule: long non-coding RNA, 180 nt
Organism: Octopus sinensis (East Asian common octopus)
Lineage: Eukaryota; Metazoa; Mollusca; Cephalopoda; Octopoda; Octopodidae
Exons: 4
Source: RefSeq, a predicted model, not a curated record